CUACGGGCUGCAGCAGUGGGGAAUAUUGCACAAUGGAGGAAACUCUGGUGCAGCAACGCCGCGUGGAGGAUGACACUUUUCGGAGCGUAAACUCCUUUUAUAUAGGAAGAAGAUGACGGUACUAUAUGAAUAAGCGCCGGCUAACUCCGUGCCAGCAGCCGCGGUAAUACGGAGGGCGCAAGCGUUACUCGGAAUCACUGGGCGUAAAGAGCGUGUAGGCGGAUUAAAAGGUCAGAAGUGAAAUCCUAUAGCUUAACUAUAGAACUGCUUCUGAAACUCUUAAUCUAGAAUAUGGGAGAGGUAGAUGGAAUUUCUGGUGUAGGGGUAAGAUCCGUAGAGAUCAGAAGGAAUACCGAUUGCGAAGGCGAUCUACUAGAACAUUAUUGACGCUGAGACGCGAAAGCGCGGGGAGCAAACAGGAUUAGAUACCCUAGUAGUC
RNAcentral lists this ribosomal RNA (439 nucleotides) under uncultured bacterium. RNAcentral's name for it is "partial 16S ribosomal RNA". It matches the Rfam family "Bacterial small subunit ribosomal RNA", at positions 339 to 795 of the family's 1533-position model. The record is from RNAcentral.